Molecule: long non-coding RNA, 769 nt
Organism: Centruroides sculpturatus (bark scorpion)
Lineage: Eukaryota; Metazoa; Arthropoda; Arachnida; Scorpiones; Buthidae
Exons: 2
Source: RefSeq, a predicted model, not a curated record
CAAAACAAAAUAGAGAAACAGUACUUUAAAGUUUGAAAUAAUACCUUGUAAACUACAUACUAGUAAGUGUCAUACUUUCAAUAGAGUAUAUAAAUGCAUUUUAUUUCCAUUCUGGCUAUUUUCUGUGGAUUAUACAUUUCCAUGGAUUAUCUGCAUGAAAUUACAGUAAAUUAAAAAAUAAAUUAAGAAGAUAAAUGAAAAUUUUAAAAAUAAAUAUCCCUAAUCUAUUUUCUGUUGUUCUAAUGUGUAUAAAAUUUCAAUAUUUGAUUUAUCAUCACUUUUCAAAAUAACAGAAAAUGCAAGAUACAUGUGAAUUUAUUUUCAUAUUAGAUAUAGUAUUUUUUGAAAAGGCAAAGAGGAAACAUGUUAAAAUUCUGAUUGGAUACAAAAAUAAUGUCAUAGUUGAUGUCACGAGCAACCAAGCGGAAACAAACUUGCAACUACAUUAAUUAACCAUUCCAAUGUUAUGUUGCAAGAAAUUGUGAUGUCCAGUUGUGUUCUGUCUUAGGUCUUGUUUGUCACGGUCAACUGACUGUGAUAAAUAUAAAGAUGAUCUUUUACGUGUUUAUUCAUUUUUGUUUUUUAAUAUACAUUUAUUCGUUUAUCAUACAUUAUUUGAUAAUUUGAAACUUAUGAUAAGAUAGUGACGAGGAGAAAGUAUCCAGAAAAGAAUUAUUGAUAGGUAAGAGACGAGAGAGAAAAGAAUCGAAGAAGGACAAAGGUUACGUGGCCUUUGAAGGCGAAAGUUCAGAAGAUGAAAUGGAUGAAA